UUUGAUUACAGCCACCUACUAGUUCCCCCCCAAGAGUGGAACUACUUUGAAGUAACAAGACGAGAGCGUGCACAUCCGCUCAGCCCUGUCACCAAUAUUUCAUCGGCGCCGUUCAUUUUACAGUACGUUGAUUUCACUCCCGCUGAGGUUCUUCUUCUCACAGCCUUCUUUUGGUGGCAUCCCUCCAGUCCUUGGGAAUGAACCAUGGAAGACAUAGCGACCUGUGCCUGUUGUCCCACCCACGUCGGACCCCCGAACGAUGUCGUGUUUUUGUACAAAAAAGCAGCCGUAGGUUCAGACAGCAUCUUCUACAGGAAGUGGAUCUGGACGACUGCGUGAUGCCAGCCGGAUUGUCACCGCAGUUCUGGGUGGAACCGCGGCGCCAAUCCCACAGCCCCCCCUGGCAGUGGGGAGCUUCAUUUACUGCGGGCAGCUGGGCCGAACCACAAAAAGCAAAAGCGUCUCGCAACAAAGACGUCUUCCCUGUGAAGGUCUGAAAUUGAAAAGCGUCUCACACAAGGACGUAGGACGCGUGGAGACACGCUCCUCCCCACCCGGUCAGUGUAAUGGAUGGUGAAUCUGUUGCUUACUCAUGCAUGCGGCUGACAAAUUGUGCCUCUCUGAGCGAGGCCCCGCCGCUGUGUGAUUUGUGAAAGACGGGAAGCGACAGGAUGAGUCGGCAGCUGACAAUUGAAAAAGGCCACCGAGGAUACGGACACACUAGUCUGAAAAGGUGCAUUUGAAGAAAAUGAUAUAUCUGAGGGGUUUAUAGGCCGCGUGGUGUGGAUGAGCUGCUUCUGUGCCUCGCUGUGUCUGGCGGAGAAUAUGUGAGACACAUUUUCAGCAAUGACCUUGCUGUGUAGCGGACUAGCAAACUGUUCUUCCAGUGAUUGUGAUGCUAUAUGAAUAGACACAGGAAGCUCUAAGGUGCACAGGGGCCACACAUGCGUAUAUUGUAGCCUAAAAUCUGAAUUCAUUUAACUGGGUUUGACUGUGAGGUAGCCCACAUAAUGUGCAUCGGUCCACAUUUAAAGUGUAUGAUAUGGAUCCAGUCCAGCAGUCCUGCUAACAGUAGUUUAACCCUCGCUGCUCGCAGCUUCCUCAACCUAGUAUCAUAAUAUAAUCCAUAUUCACUCAAACAGAUCUGUUAUUUCUGUCUCUGAGUUUAGUUUAUACGACAUAAAACUGCCAUAGUAGAACGCCUAUCUAAUAAAACCUACGUUGAAGUCUGUACAUACAUUAAACACAACACAACUACAUGGAAGUACUAUCAAAUUGAGGGUACCAAAAGUGCUGUAUCUCAUCCAAAAGAACAAAACGGAGGUGUCGAGUUCAGCUCAUUGUGUGGUAACAAAAUCUGUAUAUAAAGCAGGAAACUGGGUCUCCAGAUUUUUGGUAUUCUUAAGUGAGCCUAACACAAACCAACCCAUGAUUUAAAGCUGUGCACCUGCUUACAAGGUAGUAACGUUAGCUUGAGUACUAACUAAAGCCAAACCGCAAGGCGCGGAUCGUCAUCGUUAAAUGAAUACACAUGAUGUUGUGAUCACGUGAAAGUCUGUUAGGCUACGUUGUAAACGUGUUACAAAAAAACUGGUUCACUCACUUAACUAGUUAAGAAGAAAAACAGUGUUUGGUGGU
Gasterosteus aculeatus aculeatus (three-spined stickleback) is the source of this 1638-nucleotide long non-coding RNA. NCBI's taxonomy places the organism in Eukaryota, Metazoa, Chordata, Actinopteri, Perciformes, Gasterosteidae. The record is from Ensembl.